Jaculus jaculus (lesser Egyptian jerboa) is the source of this 115-nucleotide small nuclear RNA. Its record names the gene U5. It matches the Rfam family "U5 spliceosomal RNA". From Rfam's summary of the family: U5 RNA is a component of both types of known spliceosome. The precise function of this molecule is unknown, though it is known that the 5' loop is required for splice site selection and p220 binding, and that both the 3' stem-loop and the Sm site are important for Sm protein binding and cap methylation. The record is from Ensembl. NCBI's taxonomy places the organism in Eukaryota, Metazoa, Chordata, Mammalia, Rodentia, Dipodidae.
ACACUCUGGUUUCUCUUCAGAUCAUAUAAAACUUUCACUUUUUACUAAAGAUUUCAUGGAGAGGAAUAACUCUGAGACAUAACCUAAUUUUGGGGGGCCUUGUGUUAGCAAGGCU